GAGAAAAGGCGCUGCCGUAAAGCGGAGUGUAGACGCGCAAGAAGACUUGUGCGGCGGACGAGAGGCGGCUGUCUCUCACUGUCCCGCGGUCCCGUGAAGCCUGAAGAGACGAUGAAGAAUUAAUUGAGCGCUGGGACUGGAACUAGUGUUCUAGUUUGUGUUUAUCACGGACUCUUUAGGGCGCUGCACACUCGCUCUCUCAGCACAUUCGCGCUCAGAAAGAAGCCAAAUCGUUAAAGCAGACUAACGUGGAAACAGGUGAAGAGACCAAGACAUCAGUAGGAGGGAGGACGACCCCCCAGUCUGAGGACGAUCCCCACCACAUGAAUGGGGGACAGGAGGCGCAGCUUCCAGCCCAGCUGAGUGUCGGGUGGAGGAGGGGGCGGAGUCUGUCCGGCUGCCCUUCAAAACCACAGCUCAGCUGCCUGAAGACACUCGGGUGGAGCGGUGGCACCGUCCUGAGAAGCCUGACAAACAGGAGCGGCAUCACAGAGACCGAGUGAAAGAAAGACGAGCGGACGGUUCAGCCUGACCCUUAAACGCCCCACAGAGAGCCAGAUACAGCUGUGUGGCCUGGAGCCAGGAAACUUCAUCGGGGUCGUGCUGCUCACACUUACGGGCGUUUGUUCACUGUCACUUGGUUCUCUAUGAUUUCACUUAUUAUUUUAUGGUGUUUGUGUGUGAAGCUGUCGUGUCUCCUGCAGGGAGAGAUCAGCACAUCAGGAAUAGAAGCAGCUGGUUAUUGAUCAGUGAUGUCAGAGUGGAGCCGGUGUGAUGGUAUCAAUUAUACUGGAAACACUUUGCUUCAUUUCCUCAUACUGAUCAGUUUGUGUCGUUACUCUGUACUCGUGUCCUGUUUAAAGCUUUGCGAGUAUCAGGUGAGCAGUGAGCAUGAGUGGGAGCCGUGGACGCUGCUGCAGGGAGGCUGCGUGUCAUUUAUUUGUGAGUUUAAUCCAUUAAAGCUAAUAAAGAGCU
Molecule: long non-coding RNA, 975 nt
Organism: Pundamilia nyererei
Lineage: Eukaryota; Metazoa; Chordata; Actinopteri; Cichliformes; Cichlidae
Exons: 3
Source: RefSeq, a predicted model, not a curated record